AUUUAACGCUGGCGGCAGGCCUAACACAUGCAAGUCGAGCGGAGCGGCGGACGGUUGAGUAAUUCCCAGGUAUCUGCCUGGUAGUGGGGGCUAACGUCCGGAAACGGGCCCUAAUACCACAUACUAUCAGAUGAGCCUAGGACGGAUUAGCUCGUUGGUGGGGUAAAGGCCUACCAAGGCGACGAUCCGUAACUGGCCUGAGAGGAUGAUCAGUCACACUGGAACUGAGACACGGUCCAGACUCCUACGGGAGGCAGCAGUGGGGAAUAUUCGACAAUGGGCGAAAGCCUGAUCCAGCAAUGCCGCGUGUGUGAAGAAGGUCUUCGGAUUGUAAAGCACUUUUAGUUGGGAGGCGUUACCAAAAGAAUAAGCAACGGCUAACUACGUGCCAGCAGCCGCGGUAAUAC
RNAcentral lists this ribosomal RNA (407 nucleotides) under uncultured bacterium. Its description in RNAcentral is "partial 16S ribosomal RNA". It matches the Rfam family "Bacterial small subunit ribosomal RNA", at positions 32 to 526 of the family's 1533-position model. The record is from RNAcentral.